GCGGAGGAAAAGAAACCAACAGGGAUUGCCCCAGUAACGGCGAGUGAAGCGGCAACAGCUCAAAUUUGAAAUCUGGCCUCACGGCCCGAGUUGUAAUUUGCAGAGGAUGCUUUUGGCGCGGCGCCUUCCGAGUGCCCUGGAACGGGACGCCAUAGAGGGUGAGAGCCCCGUCUGGUUGGAUGCCUAGCCUCUGUAAAGCUCCUUCGACGAGUCGAGUAGUUUGGGAAUGCUGCUCAAAAUGGGAGGUAUAUGUCUUCUAAAGCUAAAUAUUGGCCAGAGACCGAUAGCGCACAAGUAGAGUGAUCGAAAGAUGAAAAGCACUUUGAAAAGAGGGUUAAAUAGUACGUGAAAUUGUUGAAAGGGAAGCGCUUGUGACCAGACUUGGGCUUGGUGAAUCAUCCGGCGUUCUCGCCGGUGCACUUUGCCUGUCCAGGCCAGCAUCAGUUCGCUCCGGGGGAUAAAGGCGUGGGGAAUGUGGCUCCUCCGGGAGUGUUAUAGCCCCGCGUGUAAUACCCUGUGGCGGACUGAGGUUCGCGCUCCGCAAGGAUGCUGGCGUAAUGGUCAUCAGCGACCCGUCUUGAAACACGGACCAAGGAGUCGUCUUCGUAUGCGAGUGUUCGGGUGUCAAACCCCUACGCGUAAUGAAAGUGAACGCAGGUGAGAGCUUCGGCGCAUCAUCGACCGAUCCUGAUGUUCUCGGAUGGAUUUGAGUAAGAGCAUACGGGGCCGGACCCGAAAGAAGGUGAACUAUGCCUGUAUAGGGUGAAGCCAGAGGAAACUCUGGUGGAGGCUCGCAGCGGUUCUGACGUGCAAAUCGAUCGUCAAAUAUGGGCAUGGGGGCGAAAGACUAAUCGAACCUUCUAGUAGCUGGUUUC
This 875-nucleotide ribosomal RNA is filed under the name Niesslia aurantiaca. RNAcentral's name for it is "eukaryotic LSU rRNA". It matches the Rfam family "Eukaryotic large subunit ribosomal RNA", at positions 50 to 958 of the family's 3401-position model. The record is from RNAcentral. Lineage: Eukaryota; Fungi; Ascomycota; Sordariomycetes; Hypocreales; Niessliaceae.